GCUCUUUUUCUUCUUCUUUCUAUUCCUUUAAUCUUGGAAGUAUCAGACACUAUAAGCUUGAAUAUAAGAUUAGAAACUUGGUUAAAUGAUAGCUCUUUAUUCAUAUCUCAUCUUGGUUGAGCUUGCUUUAAUCAGAUAUGUUAAAUUGAAGAGCAUCAGUCAAUAUAAGCAUUGAGAUGAGGUAGAGUUAAUGAAUGAUGAUUUUUCUUUAGCAUACUCUUUCUCUCUCCUCUUCUUCUCUUCUUUCCUUCCUCUAUUUUUCACCUUUUUCUAUAUUUUCGCUUCAAUCAUUAUUCUAC
Molecule: long non-coding RNA, 299 nt
Filed under: Vigna radiata
Lineage: Eukaryota; Viridiplantae; Streptophyta; Magnoliopsida; Fabales; Fabaceae
Description: long non-coding RNA (VRAD_LNC005253)
Source: RNAcentral